CCCCUUGUGGCUCAGUUGGUAGAGCAUGGUGUUUGCAAUGCCAGGGUUGUGGGUUCGAUUCCCACGGGGGA
This 71-nucleotide transfer RNA is filed under the name Salmo salar (Atlantic salmon). It matches the Rfam family "tRNA". From Rfam's summary of the family: Transfer RNA (tRNA) molecules are approximately 80 nucleotides in length. The record is from Rfam by way of RNAcentral. Lineage: Eukaryota; Metazoa; Chordata; Actinopteri; Salmoniformes; Salmonidae.